Molecule: long non-coding RNA, 401 nt
Organism: Bactrocera dorsalis (oriental fruit fly)
Lineage: Eukaryota; Metazoa; Arthropoda; Insecta; Diptera; Tephritidae
Exons: 2
Source: RefSeq, a predicted model, not a curated record
CACGAAGUUGUAUUUUUGUUCCUCUUACAAUUUUCCUUCGAUCCAGAUUGAAUUGACACAAAUGAGGACUGAAUAUCUUAAAGAUUAUUAAGUCUCUUUUAUAGUCGAUCGGAUGUAUGCAACACAACUUCAGUUUUCAGGUAAACUGCAAGUAUCAAUUAUUACUGUUCCGUAAUUUUUCGCUGUCACUGCUGCACAUGCAGGGUUGUACCGAACUCAGAGAACGUAAAUUAUAUACGUUCUCUGCCGAAGUAAUCUGGCAGUGCUACCAUAUUUUAUUACGCUACCUGCUGUUAACGAUGCCGCGCACUAUUUUUUGACGGCGCCGAAACUUUUCAUAUUAUUAAAUAAAAUUAUUAGGAUGUUAAAUAUUUUUAUAACUAAUUUUAUAUAAUAUGCAA